UUCGAAAAUGAAAACAUGGAUUAGGGCUUUCCGACUCUUCUUACCAUGAUCUCAAUCUGCCUGAUAAACUGUAUUAAUCAUAUUUUCUGAAGAUUCGACGCUAAAGUGGGUUGGUAUACGCCUAGAUUAGCACUAUAUUUCUGCGCGGAAAGAGUUCUUAUAUACUUUUCAUCUAUCGGUAGGUGACGAUUGUUAAUAUUUUAUUUUUUAUUCGAAUUGUGAAAUUAACCUGGUAUUCAAUGCAUGUUACGGUUGAGUUUUUGUAUUUUUUGUUGUUUUCGAUGUAAAUUAACAUAAUGCCAUUUAUUUUUAGGCGAGGUAAUGUUCUGUAGGACCCACGUUCAAUUUCUAACUGAUAUUUUGGGGUAACCCUUAAAAAAAAUCGUUGCUGGUGUUUUUUGAUAGUUAUGUUGGGGUAAAAAUUCGAAACCACUUAAUAUCAUCCCACUUUUGCGUAAACUAUAUCUGUGAUCCUGGUGUUUUGUCUUAUCCGUGGAACAACCAAGGAUUUUAAUGAACAUUUAUAUGUGAAAUUCAAAGUAUAUACUCUUACUAUACUGUGUGUUUUUUUUCAUUAAUUUUUAAAUGUUUUUUGAAAUUUAGAUGAAGAUGACGGACGAACUAAAGACAGAUGCGUCAAAGCAUGAUGGGAAAAUUCUAAAAAAUCUCUAAUGAACAUUUGUUUGAUUUUUGGACAUCAUUUUGGUUGACUAUGUAAUUUUUACUGUUUAUACAGUCACAGGUAAGGAUCCACGCAAAGAAUGGACGAAAUCAGAUAAGGAAAUAGAGAUAGAAUGCGAAAUUUUAGGUAAGUGUGAACAUAAGCUAUUUAACACUAAACAUAUAUAAUUAUAAUUGUGUGGCAUACAUGAUUUUGACUGAAAUCAAUUGUCAAUGUUUAUAUUCAUUGGUUCUGUUAAAGACGGGAACACUAAUUAUGGCAUUUAAUAUUUUCACGAUGCAGACGAAGUAUCCACAACACAGCCGGUGAAGAGAGUGACAAGGUCAUCCGUUAAGAUUGAAUCAAGUAAAAAUAAAGGUACUUAAUUGAUUGUAGCAACUAUUAUGUGUUACCAUGAUAGUGUGCUAUGUUAUUAAUAUCAAACUAUACUGCUUAUUUGUUUAAAUAGACAUCAAUGAAGAAGAAGCCGACUUCAACAAUGUUGUGAAUAAGAAAAAGGGGAAGGAACUUCAUGGUAAAUUUUCUUUGAACUUGUUUUAAUGAAUAACCACUAUACUGAUUAUCCAUUAUCUAUAUUUUAAUGAAUGAACAUUUCCUACAUAAAUAAAUAUUGAAAUGUAAAUUAAUUUUUUUUAGUUAAUAUAUAUAUAUACAUAUAUAUAUAUAUAUUUAUGUUUAUAUUAAAGGAGUUGAUUUUUUUUAAACAGAUCUGGAAGAAAAAGAAGAUGAUACGAUUGAUCCGGUAGAAAAGGAAAAGGGGACGGAACAUGAAGGUAAAAUGUAUAUGUUUAAAAUUAUUUUAACUUAUUUUUUUUUUAAAUGAAUAAACAUUCACACAUGAAAUAUAUAUCGAAGUUUAACUUCAAUAUGUUUUAUUGUCAUAUAUGUGAUUCCAUUAUUGAAGGGUUUGACUGUGUAUUUAAAUAGCACCCAACAAAAAGUCACAUGGAUGCACCAAGGUGUUAGAUAAAGGAAUUGAGAGUGAACAACAAGGUAAAUAAUGGUUAUACGUUAUUAUACCUUACCAAUUAUACCUACCUAAAUAUAUAUUGAAGUUAAAAUUCAAUAUGUUCUAUUAGUAUAUUUAUGUAUGUAUUUAUAAUAUGUCAUGCCUUUUUUACUAAAAAUUAGAACCCGAAAAAAAGGAGACGAUACCAACAAGUUGGUAGAAAAAGAGAAGGGGGCGCAACAUGAAGGCAAAUAUCUUUUGAACUUAUUAUACCUCGGAAAAUAUAUAUUGAAUUUGAAUUUCACUAUUUUGCAUUAGCAUAUAUAUGUACGUAUGUGUAAAUUUAACUUUUAAAAAAAAAAAUUAGAACCAAAUGAAGAAGAAGAAGACAACAGUAAAUUGGAAAAAAAAUAAAGGGAAAGGAACAUCAAGGUAAGUAUGUUUUUAACUCAGAAUACGUUUUUUAUUUGUUUAUAAUGAACAAACAUUCGUACAUAACCAUUUAUAGAACUUAAAAUUCAUUAUGUUGUACUGUUAUAUAUAUUUCUCUAUACACUGAAGGGGCUGAUCUUUGUUUUAAAAUAGUACCAAGUGGAAAAGAAGACGAAUCAAGCAAGGUGGUAAAAAAAAGAAAGGUGAAGGAGCGUCAAGGUAAUUCCAUUUAUAUAGACACUAAAACUCAAUACAUUGCGAUAUUUUGAAAAGACAAUAUUAAUGAACGGACGUUGAUAUGCUUAGAAUCUAGAGUUAAUGUUUGCAAAUAUAAAUGUAUAUGCUUUUUUUUAAACUGUCCAUUUCAGUGGAACCAUGAAUAAGAACAAGGGGAGCGAAGAGGGCAAGGCUGUCGUCCAAAGAAAAAAUCACUAAAUCUGUAGGUAUCCUAUGGUUGUUCAAUAAUAUGACCUAUUUGUAUAUUUUUAUAUGCUCUGCAUGUAAUGAAUGUUGACAACAAUGUUAUGAUAAUUAAGUGUCAAGAUUAAAGCUGAGGGUCCUAGCGUAAAGGUUGAAGACCGUAAACGGAGGACAUAUCGAUGUACUAAAUUUUAUUCAUUUUUUUACCUCUGUAAUUUUUUGGGUAAAUAACAUUUGUCAAACAUUUUAUUUUUAUUUCCCCAGCUACUGGGAAGAAGAUUGUUUCGCAUGGUGUCGAUCCUGAAAGUGAGAAUGUACGAGCCGAUGGUGAAGAAAAA
This 2821-nucleotide long non-coding RNA is filed under the name Salvia miltiorrhiza (redroot sage). RNAcentral's name for it is "long non-coding RNA (SMIL_LNC010371)". The record is from RNAcentral. Lineage: Eukaryota; Viridiplantae; Streptophyta; Magnoliopsida; Lamiales; Lamiaceae.